Long non-coding RNA from Myotis davidii, 136 nucleotides. RefSeq lists it as uncharacterized. The record is from RefSeq and is a predicted model, not a curated record. The transcript has 3 exons. NCBI's taxonomy places the organism in Eukaryota, Metazoa, Chordata, Mammalia, Chiroptera, Vespertilionidae.
AUUUCCACUCAGCCAGCCUUCCUGUGGUUCUGGAUGAUGUCCGUGUUUUAGUUGUAUUUUUGAAGUUGUUGUGCAAGGCAACAAUUUCCAGUGUUUAACUAUGCCGCCAUCUGGGUUUCUCCUGAAUGGUACAUUC